This 3187-nucleotide long non-coding RNA is filed under the name Phocoena sinus (vaquita). RNAcentral describes it as "lncRNA (ENSPSNG00000008564.1)". Lineage: Eukaryota; Metazoa; Chordata; Mammalia; Artiodactyla; Phocoenidae. The record is from RNAcentral.
AACCUGGAAGCACUGUCCCCUCCGGCCCCGGUCACCCCUCCCGCCCCGCGGCCCUCGAUCCCGAGCCGGUCUUGGGGAAACGCGCCCGUCUCCCCGGGGGCCUCCGAGCCCGGGCUGCGCGCACCGAAGGGUUAAGGGCGCGGACCGGCCGCCGCGCUGUGCGCUCGCCGUGCUCAGAGCUGCUCGCCCCGCCGCCCGCCGGAGGGUGCCCCCCCCCGCCCCCCCGAAGUCGGAUCCCAGAGCUGCGGCGGCGGCAGCCAACUGCUCCAUAUUUGGCUUCUAUUACACAUUUACAUACUGGAGCGAGCUAGCGAGCGAGCGCGAGAGAGCGCGAGGGAGGGCGGGCGGAGGGAGGAGGGAGGGGAGAGGAGCGAGGGGGGGGAGGAGGAGGAGAGAGCAGAGUAUACCGCAGACAUCAUUUCUACUACAGUGGCGGAGCCGUACAGGACCUGUUUCACUGCAGGGGGAUCCAAAACAAGCCCCGUGGAGCAGCAGCCAGAGCUACAGCAGCCGCAAGACACUGUUUCUCUCCCUCUGCCCCCCCUUCCCCACGCAACCCCAGAUCCAUUUACACUUUACAGAGGAUCGUGCAGCCAAUCACCAGGGUGGUCCAUUCAAGCUGCAGAUUUGUCUGUCAUCUUGGGACAGCAGGCUCGUCCUCCGCAGCCACUGCAGGAAAGUGCGUCACUCAUCAGCAUUCUGGAGCAAAAUGAAAGAGUUUAUUUUGAGGCCUCCAAAGUCGUGCUGCUACAGACCAUGAACAAGAAGGAGAAGACCUCAGCCUGCACGAAUGGUCUUGAAAUGCAUAUGGUCUUGGGUAAGUCAUCCGAAGGACUUGGCAUUCAUUAGUUGUAAAUUUCAUCCAUCAUCAUUCAUUUGGUGUCCCAGGCCAUCUUAUUCAAGUUCAUGGUUAUUUCUCUACAGCCCAAGCAACAGGAUGUUGAGGAAAUGUUGAUCCAGGGCUGCUGAGCCAAGAGAGCAAUGACAUUGACUUAGUGCGUUCCUUUCUGAAAUGUGCAGAAUAGCAGGAUUUGAGCAGAAUGCACUUGUGGUUAGGAAAGACCAAAAAAAAAAAAAAAAAAACCAAACAACUAAACACACAAACAACAAACUUUAUCUUCCAUAUAUUCCAUUUCAGUGGAGAGCAUAGGGGAUUAAUCAUACAGGAGAUAGUAUAUUCAAUCUAGUGGCAUGUUUGUUAUCCUGUAAGUGAAGUAUUGGGAUGAGCAAGGUGAGAGGCAUUGGGAGUUUCCAGAUCCUGUUCAACAGGGUCUGUUGAGAACCUUUUAACUAAACAUGGUACCCUGAAUGACAGUCUUGGGGGUGGAAUGCAAAUGCUCCAAACUAUAAAUAAAUAUUAAAUUCCAAACCCUACAGCAAAAUAAUGUGGACUUCCAAGGAAGUUUCAUCAGUCUAGUUCAAUGUAUUUCUUGGAAACAGAGACCUCAGAUGGAAGCCCAGUUCUGCUCACAUAUCUUGGUGACCUUGGACAAUGUAUCCACCCUCUUGAAAUGAGUCACCUGUAAAAACACCACUAUCUUGAUGAUGUCCGAGGUUGCUUGCAAAUUUAAAAUUCCACAGCUCGUUCUAGUGAAGUUAAUUAAAUACUACUACCCUUUGAUUCUUGCUGAUCUGAAUUUAUCGUGUGCCCUUGGCAAGUCAUCAUUCGCAGGGGGCUCCCUGGACCAGCCAGUGUGAAGAAAAGGUGGCAGAGGCACCUGGGGUCCUCCUUCCUCCUGGCACUGAUCUUGUGACUCAGCCCUUUGGUCAAGCAGGUCUUGCAGUAUCUGGUUCAUAAUUUAUUCUCUUGCAGCAUUACAGAAAACAUGGCGCAGUGUUCUAUGAAUAUAAUAUUCGAAUAAACGAGAUAGGUUUCUUCUGAAUCAUUGUCUUCUAUUUUUCUGUUGGGGAUCUCACUUCUUCUUUCUCUGUGCUUGCAGUCACUGUGUUAUGGGUUAUCUGCCAGUUCUUUAACCCUGUGGAGCCCCAAACUUUGUUUUAUGUUGAACGGAACCCUUUCUUACUAAAUGUCCCUUUUCUGAAGCAGAGCUGCAAAUGACACUUUAAAUGAUGCUCAGAUGUCACUCUUGUUAGCAGCUGGCUGUCUGCCUCAGAGCAGUGCAUUAUUUGGGUUUCAUAACAGCAUUUUUUUUCUCUUACAAAUGUUAAAUUACGAAGUGCAGGAAACCACAUGAAUGCGGCAGAAUGAAAACGCACACAGUGUUAUCUGGAGAUGCCAGUGUUAUGAUUCUCCUGGUGACAGUCUCUUCCCUGCAGUCAACAUAGGAAGCCUCUCUACCUGUUUGGUGACAGCGUUGUAGUUCCUGUCUCCACCUGUCUUCUUGCCCUUGUCCUGCUGAAUUGGGAGUUUGAGUUAAGACGACUGCAGGGGGCUGUCUCUUUCUAUCCAAGUCCCGCCUGACCACCAAGCCCGGCUCAUGUUCACAAAGUCUGCCCUGAAUGCUCAGGACUUACUGACUGGCCUCUCCUUAUGAGCUCCUAUAACAAUUAGAGCCUGCGUCUUAAAAAACACAAAAACAAAACAAAACAAAAAAAACAAACUCUAUGGCUGUGCAUUGCUUUGUGAGUUGCAGACUUGGGGGCAGGAAUCAGAUCAUAGCCUGGUGGUUCUCAAAGGUGGUCUAAGCCCCAGCACCUCCCCCAUCAGAAUCACCUGGACGUGCGUAUUAAAGCUGCAGAUUUAGCAACCCCAGGCUCGAUGAGUCAGAAUUUCUGGGGAUGCUGAGCCCAAGAAACUCACUACAUACAGAUAGCUCUUGCGCACUGAGGUUUGUGAGCAAGUGUCUCAGGCUGCUUCUUCAUCCUCCUCUUCGCCUCGUCGCCCACAGCAGAGGGUCCAGAUCUGAGCACAUAGUAGGUGCCCAGGAAAUGCUUGCUUGUUGAUCUAAGCAGCAUCAAACCAUGAUAGUUGUAAUAUCUCUUCAAUCUCCUGACCUUUUCGGAUAUGAAGUCAGCAUAUUCUCUGAACCCUGAGAAACCCCUUUUUGUCUAAAUGUGUGAAGAGCUCCUCUAGGUCAGAGGCUCCUUUGGAAACCUUUUUAUGUCUCUUUCUCUGUCACCAAUUGACUCUUGACUGUCCCUGGUAAUGGCAGGAACCCUAAGUGUAGUAGAGCAGGGAUAUCAGCUGUGGGAGCUGGACUUGAGCUGACGAGACGGGCGAAGGCUC